UACGUAGGGCGCAAGCGUUGUCCGGAAUUAUUGGGCGUAAAGGGCUCGUAGGCGGUUUGUCGCGUCGGGAGUGAAAACCAUGAGCUUAACUCAUGGCUUGCUUUCGAUACGGGCAGACUAGAGGCAUGCAGGGGAGAACGGAAUUCCUGGUGUAGCGGUGAAAUGCGCAGAUAUCAGGAGGAACACCGGUGGCGAAGGCGGUUCUCUGGGCAUGUCCUGACGCUGAGGAGCGAAAGUGUGGGGAGCGAACAGG
Molecule: ribosomal RNA, 253 nt
Filed under: uncultured bacterium
Lineage: Bacteria
Description: partial 16S ribosomal RNA
Rfam family: Bacterial small subunit ribosomal RNA
Source: RNAcentral